This 253-nucleotide ribosomal RNA is filed under the name uncultured bacterium. RNAcentral describes it as "partial 16S ribosomal RNA". It matches the Rfam family "Bacterial small subunit ribosomal RNA", at positions 524 to 776 of the family's 1533-position model. The record is from RNAcentral.
UACGUAGGGUGCGAGCGUUGUCCGGAAUUAUUGGGCGUAAAGGGCUCGUAGGCGGUUUGUCGCGUCGGGAGUGAAAUCCACUGGCUUAACUGGUGGCUUGCUUUCGAUACGGGCAGACUGGAGGUAUGCAGGGGAGAACGGAAUUCCUGGUGUAGCGGUGAAAUGCGCAGAUAUCAGGAGGAACACCGGUGGCGAAGGCGGGUCUCUGGGCCGAAACUGACGCUGAGGUGCGAAAGCUAGGGUAGCAAACGGG